Molecule: ribosomal RNA, 253 nt
Filed under: uncultured bacterium
Lineage: Bacteria
Description: partial 16S ribosomal RNA
Rfam family: Bacterial small subunit ribosomal RNA
Source: RNAcentral
UACAGAGGUCUCAAGCGUUGUUCGGAUUUAUUGGGCGUAAAGCGCGCGCAGGUGGUGCGGUAAGUCUGCCGUGAAAUCUCCCGGCUCAACUGGGAGGGGGCGGUGGAGACUGCCGGACUGGAGGGACCUAGAGGCCGGUGGAAUUCCCGGUGGAGUGGUGAAAUGCGUAGAGAUCGGGAGGAACACCAGUGGCGAAGGCGGCCGGCUGGGGGUGCCCUGACGCUGAGGCGCGAAAGCGUGGGGAGCGAACCGG